UACGUAGGGUCCAAGCGUUAUCCGGAAUCACUGGGCGUAAAGCGUGCGUAGGUGGCGUGUUAAGUGAGAUGUGAAACCGUGUGGCUCAACCAUACGUUGUGUCUCAUACUGGCAUGCUAGAGGACGGCAGAGGCAAGUGGAAUUACGAGUGUAGCAGUGAAAUGCGUAGAGAUUCGUAGGAACACCAAUGGCGAAGGCAGCUUGCUGGGCCACUCCUGACACUGAGGUACGAAAGCGUGGGGAGCGAACAGG
RNAcentral lists this ribosomal RNA (252 nucleotides) under uncultured bacterium. Its description in RNAcentral is "partial 16S ribosomal RNA". It matches the Rfam family "Bacterial small subunit ribosomal RNA", at positions 524 to 776 of the family's 1533-position model. The record is from RNAcentral.